Ilex paraguariensis (yerba mate) is the source of this 78-nucleotide non-coding RNA. The record is from the annotation of a GenBank genome assembly. Lineage: Eukaryota; Viridiplantae; Streptophyta; Magnoliopsida; Aquifoliales; Aquifoliaceae.
UUUUAUGUAGUAUAGUGGUGAGUAUUCCCGCCUGUCACGCGGGUGACUCGGAUUCGGUCCCCGACAACGACGUCAAAA